RNAcentral lists this ribosomal RNA (732 nucleotides) under uncultured bacterium. Its description in RNAcentral is "bacterial SSU rRNA". It matches the Rfam family "Bacterial small subunit ribosomal RNA", at positions 101 to 819 of the family's 1533-position model. The record is from RNAcentral.
AACUGGUGAGUAACACGUGGGUAACCUGCCCAGAAGCGGGGGAUAACACUUGGAAACAGGUGCUAAUACCGCAUAACAACAGAAACCGCAUGGUUUCUGUUUGAAAGAUGGUUUCGGCUACCACUUCUGGAUGGACCCGCGGCGUAUUAGCUAGUUGGUGGAGUAAUGGUUCACCAAGGCAAUGAUACGUAGCCGACCUGAGAGGGUAAUCGGCCACAUUGGGACUGAGACACGGCCCAAACUCCUACGGGAGGCAGCAGUAGGGAAUCUUCCACAAUGGACGAAAGUCUGAUGGAGCAACGCCGCGUGAGUGAAGAAGGGUUUCGGCUCGUAAAACUCUGUUGUUGAAGAAGAACACACCUGAGAGUAACUGUUCAGGUGUUGACGGUAUUUAACCAGAAAGCCACGGCUAACUACGUGCCAGCAGCCGCGGUAAUACGUAGGUGGCAAGCGUUGUCCGGAUUUAUUGGGCGUAAAGCGAGCGCAGGCGGUUUCUUAAGUCUGAUGUGAAAGCCUUCGGCUUAACCGGAGAAGUGCAUCGGAAACUGGGAGACUUGAGUGCAGAAGAGGACAGUGGAACUCCAUGUGUAGCGGUGAAAUGCGUAGAUAUAUGGAAGAACACCAGUGGCGAAGGCGGCUGUCUGGUCUGUAACUGACGCUGAGGCUCGAAAGCAUGGGUAGCGAACAGGAUUAGAUACCCUGGUAGUCCAUGCCGUAAACGAUGAAUGCUAG